GCCGGGCAUUUGGGGUUCUAUGUCGAAGAGAGAUAUGAGCCCCCUGGCCCCUCAGAUUUUAACUCAUUUCUGUGUCUCUUUAUUUUUCAUCUUCACCAACCCUUGGUCAGGUCUAAGCUCACCUCAUAGGCUAGUUCCUACAAAAAAGUUCCUUUAAACUGAAGAAUCAAAUUUUCUCCACAACCUGGCGUGUUUAGCAGUCUCAAAUCAAAAGAAAACAGGUUUCAGAAUUGGAAAAUGAACAGAAAGAAAAAUGACAAUUUGAUUGAAUCAUACAGAAGUUUCCUAUAAACUUGUCUUUGCGAUGCCCCUCUGCCAUGCCAUCCUGCCUUGGAGCCAGCCAACUGUGAACUAAAACCUCUGCAAACUGAGAGGCAAAAAAAGCAUUGAGAAAAUGUCACAGCACUUUAUGGAGAAGCAAGCAAAGCCAACCAGAAAAGCAAU
Long non-coding RNA from Heterocephalus glaber (naked mole-rat), 444 nucleotides. The record is from Ensembl. Lineage: Eukaryota; Metazoa; Chordata; Mammalia; Rodentia; Bathyergidae.